This 831-nucleotide long non-coding RNA is filed under the name Mustela putorius furo (domestic ferret). Its description in RNAcentral is "lncRNA (ENSMPUG00000029313.1)". Lineage: Eukaryota; Metazoa; Chordata; Mammalia; Carnivora; Mustelidae. The record is from RNAcentral.
CCCUCUGCACCUCCCUACCUCACUUGAAAAAUGGAAGUUAACAGUAGCUACUUCACUGAGGCUAUUUUGAUGACUUAAUGAUCUGUUCCAAAUCAAACGGACAACAAAGUCACUGCUCCUUGCAUACUAUGCAGAGCCAGAUACAUUCCUAAUCUUCCAAAGAUUAGGAAGCUUUAAGGGAAACAUCUUAAUUUGGCAAGGUCUAAGCAACCCUGCCUUCUUUCAAGCACACGUAAAGCCACCUCCCAGCCUAAGGCUGGGUCCCGUGGAACACAGUAAAUGGCUGCGAUUAGGAAUAGGACAGUACAUGUCAGAACCUGAGCGCGAUCUGUUCCUACGGGGCCACAGGUAAGAAACAGGUGAGGGCUCUUCGGGGGCGGGAGUUCCAGCAACCGGAACCCAGCCCCUCCUCCCUACCGGCUCGGCUCAGAGGCGUGGCCACUGAAGGGGGCGGGCAUCUAGGCCAAGGGGGUGGAGUUGGGGCCAGAAAAGAUGCCAAUGCGACGCGAGCUUUCCCGCGUUUAACCAAUUGAAUGCGCUCAGGGCCGCCCCCAUUCUCUGAUUGGCACAACGCGUCUGCCUGUGUUCUCGCGGUUUGUGGGAGCCUCUCCGCGGUCUCGCGAGGAUGCGGGUCUUCGCCGGUGCUUGGUGAGGCGGGCGGGUUCCUCCGACGGCUGGUGGCGCCCGACGGGUGCGGUCCGCCUUGGAGCCGCUGUGCCGGAGGCGGAGCACGGGCUAAUUUACGGAGAGUUCGAGUGGAGCCACACUUAGAUUUUGAACUUCGUUUUCAAUGCAGACCCUUAAAAGCAGCCCUGCUCACCUCCUAAAAAG